This 473-nucleotide long non-coding RNA is filed under the name Homo sapiens (human). RNAcentral describes it as "HSALNT0061060". The record is from RNAcentral. Lineage: Eukaryota; Metazoa; Chordata; Mammalia; Primates; Hominidae.
CCCACUUCUGCGAAUGUCAAAGCAAAAUUAUUCUGGUAGAGAAAACAUGACUCCUCCCUACUGCUGAAUGUGGUUCAGAACUUUUCAUACUGAGAUUCAUGAUCUGAGUGUGGAGGUCCAAUUGUGUAUCAUGAGUACUAAGGUCCUUCUUAGCUGCCACUCCAACCCCAAUAUAAGAGGUUCUUAGCUGGGUGCAGUGGUUCACAUCUAUAAUGUCAGCACUUUGAGAGUCCAAGACAGGAGGAUCACUUGAGUCCGGGAGUUCAAGACCAGCCUAGGCAGCAUUGUGACACCCUAUGUCGAUUAAAAGAAAAUUUUUUUAUUAAAAAAAAAAAACUUAGUUAGCUUUUGAAUCUUAACUUAAGCUGAAAAAAAAGAGGUUCUCAACCCUAAAAGAGUCAUGUGACUUGAUCCCUAAAAGGCAUUUUCUUGGCGAGGCUUUAGAAAACGAUUUUAAGGGAAGAUACUUUGAC